RNAcentral lists this ribosomal RNA (328 nucleotides) under uncultured Lactobacillus sp. RNAcentral's name for it is "bacterial SSU rRNA". It matches the Rfam family "Bacterial small subunit ribosomal RNA", at positions 1050 to 1378 of the family's 1533-position model. The record is from RNAcentral. Lineage: Bacteria; Bacillati; Bacillota; Bacilli; Lactobacillales; Lactobacillaceae.
UGUCGUCAGCUCGUGUCGUGAGAUGUUGGGUUAAGUCCCGCAACGAGCGCAACCCUUAUUGUCAGUUGCCAGCAUUCAGUUGGGCACUCUGGCGAGACUGCCGGUGACAAACCGGAGGAAGGUGGGGAUGGCGUCAAGUCAUCAUGCCCCUUAUGACCUGGGCUACACACGUGCUACAAUGGACGAUACAACGAGUCGCGAGACCGCGAGGUUUAGCUAAUCUCUGAAAGUCGUUCUCAGUUCGGAUCGUAGGCUGCAACUCGCCUACGUGAAGUCGGAAUCGCUAGUAAUCGCGGAUCAGCAUGCCGCGGUGAAUACGUUCCCGGGA